CCUCAGUACCACAUACACAGAAAGGCCUGAAGUGGUGCUGUGGCUCAAGUGGGACAGUGCCCAGGCCCUGAGUUCAAGCCCCAGGACUGUCACACACAAAAAAAUUACUGUAGGAUUUAAAAACUGCAGAAUUUCAAAAUGUUUAUAAAACCUUCUUUUUUAUAUUUUUAGUUAAUACAGUGAAUCUGUAGUUUUCUAAGGGGACCAGAUUAAGAUCUAAACAUGGACAUUGCAUUUUAUUAAGAGGAGAUGAAAAUGGUGGGAAGUGGAUGGGACUGCAAGUCUGUGACGUGGAUAAUCACUGUAAAUUAAAGCACCAAAUGCUGACUUCUAUCACUGUGUACUUUGGAGCUGGGCUUUGGAUUUGGCUGUUAUUUUAACUCAGAUACUGUGUAAUAAUGAUAAGCAAAAGGCAAAUAAAGUUU
Perognathus longimembris pacificus (Pacific pocket mouse) is the source of this 425-nucleotide long non-coding RNA. RefSeq lists it as uncharacterized. NCBI's taxonomy places the organism in Eukaryota, Metazoa, Chordata, Mammalia, Rodentia, Heteromyidae. The transcript is spliced from 2 exons. The record is from RefSeq and is a predicted model, not a curated record.